Molecule: ribosomal RNA, 494 nt
Filed under: uncultured bacterium
Lineage: Bacteria
Description: partial 16S ribosomal RNA
Rfam family: Bacterial small subunit ribosomal RNA
Source: RNAcentral
GACGAACGCUGGCGGCGUGCUUAACACAUGCAAGUCGAACGGUGAAGCGCCUUCCUUUUUGGUGGGUGUGGAUGAGUGGCGAACGGGUGAGUAACACGUGAGUAACCUGCCCCCUUCUUCUGGAUAACCGCAUGAAAGUGUGGCUAAUACGGGAUAUUCUGGGUCUGUCGCAUGAUGGGUCUGGGAAAGAUAUUGUUUCGGUGGGGGAUGGGCUCGCGGCCUAUCAGCUUGUUGGUGGGGUGGUGGCCUACCAAGGCGGUGACGGGUAGCCGGCCUGGGAGGAUGGACGGUCUCGCUGGGGCUGCGGCACGGCCCAGACUCCUACGGGAGGCAGCAGUGUGGAAUCUUGCACGAUGGGGGCGGUCCUGAUGCAGCGACGCCGCGUGGGGGAUGGAGGCCUUCGGGUUGUGAACCCCUUUCGCCAGUGAAGCAGGCCUGCCUCGUUUGUGGGUGGGUUGACGGUAGCUGGAUCAGAAGCGCCGGCUAACUACGUG